This 497-nucleotide ribosomal RNA is filed under the name uncultured bacterium. RNAcentral describes it as "partial 16S ribosomal RNA". It matches the Rfam family "Bacterial small subunit ribosomal RNA", at positions 28 to 507 of the family's 1533-position model. The record is from RNAcentral.
GAUGAACGCUGGCGGCGUGCCUAAUACAUGCAAGUCGAGCGAACAGAUGAGGAGCUUGCUCCUCUGACGUUAGCGGCGGACGGGUGAGUAACACGUGGAUAACCUACCUAUAAGACUGGGAUAACUUCGGGAAACCGGAGCUAAUACCGGAUAAUAUAUUGAACCGCAUGGUUCAAUAGUGAAAGACGGUUUUGCUGUCUCUUAUAGAUGGAUCCGCGCCGCAUUAGCUAGUUGGUAAGGUAACGGCUUACCAAGGCAACGAUGCGUAGCCGACCUGAGAGGGUGAUCGGCCACACUGGAACUGAGACACGGUCCAGACUCCUACGGGAGGCAGCAGUAGGGAAUCUUCCGCAAUGGGCGAAAGCCUGACGGAGCAACGCCGCGUGAGUGAUGAAGGUCUUCGGAUCGUAAAGCUCUGUUAUUAGGGAAGAACAAAUGUGGAAGUAAAUAUGCACGUCUUGACGGUACCUAAUCAGAAAGCAACGGCUAACUACGUG